Molecule: transfer RNA, 70 nt
Filed under: Dipodomys ordii (Ord's kangaroo rat)
Lineage: Eukaryota; Metazoa; Chordata; Mammalia; Rodentia; Heteromyidae
Rfam family: tRNA
About the family: Transfer RNA (tRNA) molecules are approximately 80 nucleotides in length.
Source: Rfam by way of RNAcentral
GGAGGUGUGGCUCAGUGGUAGAGUGUUUGCCUUGCAUGCAUGAGGCCCUGGGUUCGAUUCCUCAGCACCA